GAUAGGUUAAGUUAAUAAGGGCGCAUGGUGGAUGCCUUGGCACUAGAAGGCGAUGAAGGACGUGACUAACUACGAUAUGCCUCGGUUAGCUGUAAGUAAGCUUACCCGGGGGUUUCCGAAUGGGGCAACCCGAUCUUAAUGAUCAUCAUCUUUUUGAAUUCAUAGAUUAGAUGAAGCAAACGCUGUGAACUGAAACAUCUAAGUAGCAGUAGGAAAGUAAAGAAAUUUCGAUUCCGUCAGUAGCGGCGAGCGAACGCGGAAGAGCCCAAACCUGGAUGCUUGCAUCCAGGGGUUGUAGGACUGAUGUUGAGUUACAAAGGUAUAAGAUAGCAGAAACAGUUGGGAAGCUGUUCCAAAGAGGGUGACAGGCCCGUAUGCGAAAUCUUGUACUCUCUAAUCAGGAUCCUGAGUACGGCCCAGCACGUGAAAUUGGGUCGGAAUCUGGGAGGACCAUCUCCCAAGGCUAAAUACUAACUAGUGACCGAUAGCGAACAAGUACCGUGAGGGAAAGGUGAAAAGAACCCCGGAAGGGGAGUGAAAUAGUUCUUGAAACCGUGUGCUUACAAGAAGUUCGAGGCCGUUAAUGGCUGAGAGCGUGCUUUUUGUAGAAUGAACCGGAGAGUUACGAUUGCGUGCAAGGUUAAGGUGCAAAGACUGGAGCCGUAGCGAAAGCGAGUCUUAAUAGGGCGAAUCAGUACGUAGUUGUAGACCCGAAACCGAGUGACCUAUCCAUGGUCAGGUUGAAGGUGGGGUAAUACCUACUGGAGGACCGAACAAGUGGGUGUUAAAAAACCCUUUGAUGAACUGUGGAU
RNAcentral lists this ribosomal RNA (812 nucleotides) under Oenococcus oeni. Its description in RNAcentral is "bacterial LSU rRNA". It matches the Rfam family "Bacterial large subunit ribosomal RNA", at positions 1 to 816 of the family's 2925-position model. The record is from RNAcentral. Lineage: Bacteria; Bacillati; Bacillota; Bacilli; Lactobacillales; Lactobacillaceae.